UCAAAUAAAGAACACAAAAGAAUCAUAGACUAAAUUUAGAACUAUUUGGAAUGCCAUGAUUACAGUGUUUGAUUUGCAUUUCUCCAUGUUUAAAUCACAGUUCAUAUUAACAAUACAUGAAUGUCAAAUAGGAUGCACUGGAAUUAUAGGUACCAAAUGAAAUUAUCACUAAAACAAACCCCAGGUUAAAGUGGACAUGGUACUGACUAGCAGACAAGUUCCAGAUUCACCAAAGAAAACCUUCAGAUCCUCCGUCACGAGUCAGCAAUCGUCAGCUGUCUGUGAAUGGUUUGUCUUCAUCAUUUCAUUUUGCUCUCACAUGUGAAAAAUAAAUGAUGGACUAUAAUCCUAACCUCCAA
Plodia interpunctella (Indianmeal moth) is the source of this 359-nucleotide long non-coding RNA. RefSeq lists it as uncharacterized. The record is from RefSeq and is a predicted model, not a curated record. The transcript is spliced from 2 exons. NCBI's taxonomy places the organism in Eukaryota, Metazoa, Arthropoda, Insecta, Lepidoptera, Pyralidae.